CCUACGGGCGGCAGCAGUGGGGAAUAUUGCGCAAUGGGCGAAAGCCUGACGCAGCGACGCCGCGUGAGGGAUGAAGGUCUUCGGAUCGUAAACCUCUGUCAGCAGGGAAGAACGGUCACUGUGCUAAUCAGCAGUGAAUUGACGGUACCCAAAGAGGAAGCUCCGGCUAACUACGUGCCAGCAGCCGCGGUAAUACGUAGGGAGCAAGCGUUGUCCGGAAUUACUGGGUGUAAAGGGAGCGUAGGCGGGAUGGCAAGUAGAAUGUUAAAUCCAUCGGCUCAACCGGUGGCUGCGUUCUAAACUGCCGUUCUUGAGUGAAGUAGAGGCAGGCGGAAUUCCUAGUGUAGCGGUGAAAUGCGUAGAUAUUAGGAGGAACACCAGUGGCGAAGGCGGCCUGCUGGGCUUUAACUGACGCUGAGGCUCGAAAGCGUGGGGAGCAAACAGGAUUAGAUACCCCAGUAGUC
This 464-nucleotide ribosomal RNA is filed under the name uncultured bacterium. RNAcentral's name for it is "partial 16S ribosomal RNA". It matches the Rfam family "Bacterial small subunit ribosomal RNA", at positions 338 to 795 of the family's 1533-position model. The record is from RNAcentral.